RNAcentral lists this ribosomal RNA (446 nucleotides) under uncultured bacterium. RNAcentral describes it as "bacterial SSU rRNA". It matches the Rfam family "Bacterial small subunit ribosomal RNA", at positions 28 to 368 of the family's 1533-position model. The record is from RNAcentral.
GAUGAACGCUGGCGGCGUGCCUAAUACAUGCAAGUCGAGCGGUAAGACUCUCACAGUUUACUUAAGCGGAGACAGGUCGCGAAAAUUGUUUACAAUUUUCGCAUCUUCAUCGGAGAGAUGAGCGUCCGGACUACCUACUAAUGAAGUAGAGUCGGAGAAGGGAAGCUUAAGUAGAGCGUGAGAGUACACGAGCGGCGGACGGCUGAGUAACGCGUAGGAACGUACCCCAAAGUGAGGGAUAAGCACCAGAAAUGGUGUCUAAUACCGCAUGUGGUCUAAGGAUUAAAGCUUCGGCGCUUUGGGAACGGCCUGCGUAUGAUUAGUUUGUUGGUGAGGUAAUGGCUCACCAAGACUACGAUCAUUAGCUGGUCUGAGAGGAUGAUCAGCCAGACUGGGACUGAGAACGGCCCAGACUCCUACGGGAGGCAGCAGUAGGGAAUUUUUCC